UACUGAAUUUCAUGUGGGCUGCUGUUUUGCGUAGCACCAUGGGAUUCAGCUCA
RNAcentral lists this microRNA precursor (53 nucleotides) under Tribolium castaneum (red flour beetle). RNAcentral's name for it is "Tca-Mir-29-P2h_pre stem-loop". The record is from RNAcentral. Lineage: Eukaryota; Metazoa; Arthropoda; Insecta; Coleoptera; Tenebrionidae.